GAGAUUUCCAAUGCUAUGUUCCAAAUAGGGCCGUUGAAAGCGCCCGGACCCGAUGGUUUUCCAGCUAGAUUUUUUCAGCGACAUUGGGCGGUGUUCAAGAUUGAGAUUACAGCUGCUGUUAAGUUGUUUUUUGAUACAGGGGUGAUGCCUGAAGGAGUGAACACCACCACCAUUGUACUAAUCCCUAAGGUUGACACCCCAACUCGGCUCACAGAUUUCAGACCGAUUAGCCUCUGUAAUGUGAUUUAUAAGGUCAUUGCCAAGUGCCUAGUGAACAGGCUACGACCUAUGCUGGAUGAGCUUGUAUCCCCGGUGCAGAGCGCCUUUAUACCAGGGAGGCUAAUCAGCGACAACGCGUUAAUUGCCUUUGAGUGUUUUCAUGCAAUAAAACAGGAAAAGGAUCCAGAGCGGAGUUUUUGUGCGUACAAGUUGGACUUAUCGAAGGCAUAUGACAGAGUGGACUGGGUGUUCUUGGAGCGAAUGAUGCAACAGUUGGGUUUCUCUCAUCGGUGGGUGUCGUGGAUAAUGGAGUGUGUCACCUCGGUGAGAUAUAAUGUGAAAAUCAAUGGAGCCCUCUCGGAUUCAUUUGCGCCGUCCUGUGGGUUACGACAGGGAGACCCCAUCUCGCCUUUCCUAUUCCUUUUUGUCGCUGAUGGUUUGGAUGCUUUACUGAAACAGGAGAUUGAAGCUACCCGUAUCUCGCCGCUGCGUGUUUGCCCUCAAGCCCCGGGCAUCUCCCACCUCUUAUUC
This 750-nucleotide ribosomal RNA is filed under the name Triticum aestivum (bread wheat). RNAcentral's name for it is "partial small subunit ribosomal RNA". Lineage: Eukaryota; Viridiplantae; Streptophyta; Magnoliopsida; Poales; Poaceae. The record is from RNAcentral.